UGAAGAACGCAGCGAAAUGCGAUACCUAGUGUGAAUUGCAGAAUUCCGCGAAUCAUCGAGUCUUUGAACGCAAGUUGCGCCCGAGGCUUGUCCCGAGGGCAUGCCUGCCUGAGCGUC
Molecule: ribosomal RNA, 117 nt
Filed under: Jungermannia exsertifolia
Lineage: Eukaryota; Viridiplantae; Streptophyta; Jungermanniopsida; Jungermanniales; Jungermanniaceae
Description: partial 5.8S ribosomal RNA
Rfam family: 5.8S ribosomal RNA
About the family: 5.8S ribosomal RNA (5.8S rRNA) is a component of the large subunit of the eukaryotic ribosome.
Source: RNAcentral